UACGUAUGGAGCAAGCGUUAUCCGGAUUUACUGGGUGUAAAGGGAGCGUAGGCGGCAGAUCAAGUCUGAAGUGAAAUCCCCGGGCUCAACUCGGGAACUGCUUUGGAAACUGGUUUGCUAGAGUGUCGGAGAGGUAAGCGGAAUUCCUAGUGUAGCGGUGAAAUGCGUAGAUAUUAGGAGGAACACCAGUGGCGAAGGCGGCUUACUGGACGAUUACUGACGCUGAGGCUCGAAAGCGUGGGGAGCAAAC
This 250-nucleotide ribosomal RNA is filed under the name uncultured prokaryote. RNAcentral describes it as "partial 16S ribosomal RNA". It matches the Rfam family "Bacterial small subunit ribosomal RNA", at positions 524 to 773 of the family's 1533-position model. The record is from RNAcentral.